ACUUUAACACUGAGGCGUGACGACGAGGCACUACGGUGCUGAAGCAACAAAUGCCCUGCUUCCAGGAAAAGCCUCUAAGCAUCAGGUAACAUCAAAUCGUACCCCAAACCGACACAGGUGGUCAGGUAGAGAAUACCAAGGCGCUUGAGAGAACUCGGGUGAAGGAACUAGGCAAAAUGGUGCCGUAACUUCGGGAGAAGGCACGCUGACAUGUAGGUGAAGUGAUUUACUCAUGGAGCUGAAGUCAGUCGAAGAUACCAGCUGGCUGCAACUGUUUAUUAAAAACACAGCACUGUGCAAACACGAAAGUGGACGUAUACGGUGUGACGCCUGCCCGGUGCCGGAAGGUUAAUUGAUGGGGUCAGCGCAAGCGAAGCUCCUGAUCGAAGCCCCGGUAAACGGCGGCCGUAACUAUAACGGUCCUAAGGUAGCGAAAUUCCUUGUCGGGUAAGUUCCGACCUGCACGAAUGGCGUAAUGAUGGCCAGGCUGUCUCCACCCGAGACUCAGUGAAAUUGAACUCGCUGUGAAGAUGCAGUGUACCCGCGGCAAGACGGAAAGACCCCGUGAACCUUUACUAUAGCUUGACACUGAACAUUGAGCCUUGAUGUGUAGGAUAGGUGGGAGGCUUUGAAGUGUGGACGCCAGUCUGCAUGGAGCCGACCUUGAAAUACCACCCUUUAAUGUUUGAUGUUCUAACGUGGACCCGUUAUCCGGGUUGCGGACAGUGUCUGGUGGGUAGUUUGACUGGGGCGGUCUCCUCCUAAAGAGUAACGGAGGAGCACGAAGGUUGGCUAAUCCUGGUCGGACAUCAGGAGGUUAGUGCAAUGGCAUAAGCCAGCUUGACUGCGAGCGUGACGGCGCGAGCAGGUGCGAAAGCAGGUCAUAGUGAUCCGGUGGUUCUGAAUGGAAGGGCCAUCGCUCAACGGAUAAAAGGUACUCCGGGGAUAACAGGCUGAUACCGCCCAAGAGUUCAUAUCGACGGCGGUGUUUGGCACCUCGAUGUCGGCUCAUCACAUCCUGGGGCUGAAGUAGGUCCCAAGGGUAUGGCUGUUCGCCAUUUAAAGUGGUACGCGAGCUGGGUUUAGAACGUCGUGAGACAGUUCGGUCCCUAUCUGCCGUGGGCGCUGGAGAACUGAGGGGGGCUGCUCCUAGUACGAGAGGACCGGAGUGGACGCAUCACUGGUGUUCGGGUUGUCAUGCCAAUGGCACUGCCCGGUAGCUAAAUGCGGAAGAGAUAAGUGCUGAAAGCAUCUAAGCACGAAACUUGCCCCGAGAUGAGUUCUCCCUGAGACUUAGAGUCUCCUGAAGGAACGUUGAAGACGACGACGUUGAUAGGCCGGGUGUGUAAGCGCAGCGAUGCGUUGAGCUAACCGGUACUAAUGAACCGUGAGGCUUAACCUUACAACGCCGAAG
This 1414-nucleotide ribosomal RNA is filed under the name Salmonella enterica subsp. enterica serovar Saintpaul. Its description in RNAcentral is "bacterial LSU rRNA". It matches the Rfam family "Bacterial large subunit ribosomal RNA", at positions 1547 to 2925 of the family's 2925-position model. The record is from RNAcentral. Lineage: Bacteria; Pseudomonadati; Pseudomonadota; Gammaproteobacteria; Enterobacterales; Enterobacteriaceae.